GUGAGGAAUAUUGGGCAAUGGGGGAAACCCUGACCCAGCGACGCCGCGUGAGGGAAGAAGGUCUUCGGAUUGUAAACCUCUGUCUUCGGGGACGAUAAUGACGGUACCCGGGGAGGAAGCCACGGCUAACUACGUGCCAGCAGCCGCGGUAAAACGUAGGUGGCAAGCGUUGUCCGGAAUUACUGGGUGUAAAGGGAGCGCAGGUGGGGCUGUAAGUCGAAUGUGAAAUCUAUGGGCUCAACUCAUAAAUUGCGUUCGAUACUAUAGUUCUUGAGUGGAGUAGAGGCAGGCGGAAUUCCCGGUGUAGCGGUGGAAUGCGUAGAUAUCCGGAGGAACACCGGUGGCGAAGGCGGCCACCUGGACAGGUACUGACGCUGAGGCGCGAAAGCGUGGGGAGCAAACAGGAUUAGAUACCCGGGUAGUCC
Molecule: ribosomal RNA, 425 nt
Filed under: uncultured bacterium
Lineage: Bacteria
Description: partial 16S ribosomal RNA
Rfam family: Bacterial small subunit ribosomal RNA
Source: RNAcentral